RNAcentral lists this ribosomal RNA (726 nucleotides) under uncultured bacterium. Its description in RNAcentral is "bacterial SSU rRNA". It matches the Rfam family "Bacterial small subunit ribosomal RNA", at positions 8 to 730 of the family's 1533-position model. The record is from RNAcentral.
AGAGUUUGAUCAUGGCUCAGGAUGAACGCUAGCGGCAGGCUUAACACAUGCAAGUCGAGGGGUAACAGGGAAGCUUGCUUCCGCUGACGACCGACGCACGGGUGCGUAACACGUAUGGAAUCUGCCCUUUACUGGAGAAUAGCCCGGAGAAAUCCGGAUUAAUGCUCCAUAAUAAACGAGAUGGCAUCAUCUUGUUUUGAAAGCUCCGGCGGUAAAGGAUGACCAUGCGCCUGAUUAGUUUGUUGGUGAGGUAACGGCUCACCAAGACUACGAUCAGUAGGGGGCCUGAGAGGGUUAUCCCCCACACUGGUACUGAGACACGGACCAGACUCCUACGGGAGGCAGCAGUGAGGAAUAUUGCGCAAUGGAGGCAACUCUGACGCAGCCAUGCCGCGUGCAGGAAGAAGGCGCUACGCGUUGUAAACUGCUUUUAAUCGGGAAGAAACCCCGGGACGUGUCCCGGGUUGACGGUACCGAUGGAAUAAGCACCGGCUAACUUCGUGCCAGCAGCCGCGGUAAUACGAAGGGUGCAAGCGUUAUCCGGAUUCAUUGGGUUUAAAGGGUGCGUAGGCGGAACAAUAAGUCAGCGGUGAAAGCCCGCAGCUUAACUGCGGAAUUGCCGUUGAUACUGUUGUUCUUGAGUACGUUUGACGUGGGCGGAAUGUGCCGUGUAGCGGUGAAAUGCUUAGAUAUGGCACAGAACACCGAUAGUGAAGACAGCUCACG